CAGUCGCCGCGGUAAUACGAGGGGGGCAAGCGUUGUUCGGAAUUGUUGGGCGUAAAGGGCGCGUAGGCGGUUUGGCAAGUUUCGUGUGAAAUCUUCGGGCUCAACUCGAAGUCUGCACGGAAAACUGCCGGGCUUGAGUAUGGGAGAGGUGAGUGGAAUUUCCGGUGUAGCGGUGAAAUGCGUAGAUAUCGGAAGGAACACCUGUGGCGAAAGCGGCUCACUGGACCAUAACUGACGCUGAGGCGCGAAAGCUAGGGGAGCAAACAGGAUUAGAUACCCGCGUAGUCCCUGUCUCUUAUAC
RNAcentral lists this ribosomal RNA (301 nucleotides) under uncultured bacterium. RNAcentral's name for it is "partial 16S ribosomal RNA". It matches the Rfam family "Bacterial small subunit ribosomal RNA", at positions 509 to 807 of the family's 1533-position model. The record is from RNAcentral.